GAUGAACGCUGACAGAAUGCUUAACACAUGCAAGUCAACUUGAAUUUGGGUUUUUAACUUAGGUUUGGGUGGCGGACGGGUGAGUAACGCGUAAAGAACUUGCCUCACAGGUAGGGACAACAUUUGGAAACGAAUACUAAUACCUAAUAUUAUGAUAAUAGGGCAUCCUAUAAUUAUGAAAGCUAUAUGCGCUGUGAGAGAGCUUUGCGUCCCAUUAGCUAGUUGGAGAGGUAACGGCUCACCAAGGCGAUGAUGGGUAGCCGGCCUGAGAGGGUGAUCGGCCACAAGGGGACUGAGACACGGCCCUUACUCCUACGGGAGGCAGCAGUGGGGAAUAUUGGACAAUGGACCGAGAGUCUGAUCCAGCAAUUCUGUGUGCACGAUGAAGUUUUUCGGAAUGUAAAGUGCUUUCAGUUGGGAAGAAAGAAAUGACGGUACCAACAGAAGAAGUGACGGCUAAAUACGUGCCAGCAGCCGCGGUAAUACGUAUGUCACGAGCGUUAUCCGGAUUUAUUGGGCGUAAAGCGCGUCUAGGUGGUUAUAUAAGUCUGAUGUGAAAAUGCAGGGCUCAACUCUGUAUUGCGUUGGAAACUGUAUAACUAGAGUACUGGAGAGGUAAGCGGAACUACAAGUGUAGAGGUGAAAUUCGUAGAUAUUUGUAGGAAUGCCGAUGGGGAAGCCAGCUUACUGGACAGAUACUGACGCUGAAGCGCGAAAGCGUGGGUAGCAAACAGG
This 735-nucleotide ribosomal RNA is filed under the name uncultured Fusobacterium sp. RNAcentral describes it as "bacterial SSU rRNA". It matches the Rfam family "Bacterial small subunit ribosomal RNA", at positions 28 to 776 of the family's 1533-position model. The record is from RNAcentral. Lineage: Bacteria; Fusobacteriati; Fusobacteriota; Fusobacteriia; Fusobacteriales; Fusobacteriaceae.